UACGGAGGGUGCAAGCGUUGUCCGGAAUCAUUGGGUGUAAAGGGUGCGUAGGCGGAAGCCUAAGUCGGAGGUGAAAUCUUGCCGCUCAACGGUAAGCGUGCCUUCGAUACUGGGUUUCUUGAGUUCGGAAGAGGUCGGUGGAAUUCGUGGUGUAGCGGUGAAAUGCAUAGAGAUCACGAAGAACACCAGUGGCGAAGGCGGCCGACUGGUCCGAUACUGACGCUGAGGCACGAGAGCGUGGGGAGCGAACAGG
RNAcentral lists this unclassified non-coding RNA (253 nucleotides) under Halalkalibaculum sp. RNAcentral's name for it is "partial 16S ribosomal RNA". It matches the Rfam family "Bacterial small subunit ribosomal RNA", at positions 524 to 776 of the family's 1533-position model. The record is from RNAcentral. RNAcentral also lists the same sequence under 1 other name. Lineage: Bacteria; Pseudomonadati; Balneolota; Balneolia; Balneolales; Balneolaceae.